AUUGAACGCUGGCGGAAUGCUUUACACAUGCAAGUCGAACGGUAGAGGGGGCAACCCCUCGAGAGUGGCGAACGGGUGAGUAAUAUAUCGGAACGUGCCCAGUCGUGGGGGAUAACGUAGCGAAAGUUACGCUAAUACCGCAUACGAUCUAAGGAUGAAAGCGGGGGAUCGCAAGACCUCGCGCGAUUGGAGCGGCCGAUAUCAGAUUAGGUAGUUGGUGGGGUAAAGGCCCACCAAGCCGACGAUCUGUAGCUGGUCUGAGAGGACGACCAGCCACACUGGGACUGAGACACGGCCCAGACUCCUACGGGAGGCAGCAGUGGGGAAUUUUGGACAAUGGGCGCAAGCCUGAUCCAGCAAUGCCGCGUGCAGGAAGAAGGCCUUCGGGUUGUAAACUGCUUUUGUACGGAGCGAAAAGGCUCUCUCUAAUACAGGGGGCUCAUGACGGUACCGUAAGAAUAAGCACCGGCUAACUACGUGCCAGCCGCCGCCGUAA
Molecule: ribosomal RNA, 496 nt
Filed under: uncultured bacterium
Lineage: Bacteria
Description: partial 16S ribosomal RNA
Rfam family: Bacterial small subunit ribosomal RNA
Source: RNAcentral